ACCGGCGGCUCGAGUGGUGGCCACUAUUACUGGGCUUAAAGCGUUCGUAGCUGGCUUGUUAAGUCUCUGGGGAAAUCUUCCGGCUCAACCGGAAGGCGUCUCAGGGAUACUGGCAGGCUAGGGAUCGGAAGAGGUGAGAGGUACUCCAGGGAGAGGAGUGAAAACCUGUGAUCCGUGGGGGACCACCGGAGGCGGAGGCGUCAAACCGGGACGGCCCCGACAGUGAGGAACGAAAGCUGGGGGAGCAAAGAG
Molecule: ribosomal RNA, 252 nt
Filed under: uncultured prokaryote
Description: partial 16S rRNA
Rfam family: Archaeal small subunit ribosomal RNA
Source: RNAcentral